This 38-nucleotide small RNA is filed under the name Labrus bergylta (ballan wrasse). RNAcentral's name for it is "HOXA transcript at the distal tip, conserved region 2 (ENSLBEG00000001966.1)". The record is from RNAcentral. Lineage: Eukaryota; Metazoa; Chordata; Actinopteri; Labriformes; Labridae.
GCUGGAGGCCAAGGUCAAGUUGAAAGUUGUUGUCUAGC